This 491-nucleotide ribosomal RNA is filed under the name uncultured bacterium. Its description in RNAcentral is "partial 16S ribosomal RNA". It matches the Rfam family "Bacterial small subunit ribosomal RNA", at positions 28 to 507 of the family's 1533-position model. The record is from RNAcentral.
GAUGAACGCUAGCUACAGGCUUAACACAUGCAAGUCGCGGGGCAGCAUGGGGGUUGCUUGCAACCCCUGAUGGCGACCGGCGCACGGGUGAGUAACGCGUAUCCAACCUGCCCUUCACCACGGGAUAACCCGGCGAAAGUCGGACUAAUACCGUAUGGUGUCCAUUGACGGCAUCCGAUUUGGACGAAAGGCGGGGCGGUGGAAGGAGGGGGAUGCGUCCGGUUAGCUUGACGGCGGGGUAACGGCCCACCGUGGCUACGAUCGGUAGGGGUUCUGAGAGGAAGGUCCCCCACACUGGAACUGAGACACGGUCCAGACUCCUACGGGAGGCAGCAGUGAGGAAUAUUGGUCAAUGGGCGUAAGCCUGAACCAGCCAAGUAGCGUGCAGGAUGACGGCCCUAUGGGUUGUAAACUGCUUUUAUGCGGGGAUAAAGUGGCCCACGGGUGGGCUUUUGCAGGUACCGCAUGAAUAAGGACCGGCUAAUUCCGUG